UGCCGUGUCUUGUAUUGCAGAUUUGCC
Molecule: non-coding RNA, 27 nt
Filed under: Mus musculus (house mouse)
Lineage: Eukaryota; Metazoa; Chordata; Mammalia; Rodentia; Muridae
Source: RNAcentral